Molecule: transfer RNA, 72 nt
Filed under: Tropilaelaps mercedesae
Lineage: Eukaryota; Metazoa; Arthropoda; Arachnida; Mesostigmata; Laelapidae
Rfam family: tRNA
About the family: Transfer RNA (tRNA) molecules are approximately 80 nucleotides in length. Their secondary structure includes four short double-helical elements and three loops (D, anti-codon, and T loops). Further hydrogen bonds mediate the characteristic L-shaped molecular structure. tRNAs have two regions of fundamental functional importance: the anti-codon, which is responsible for specific mRNA codon recognition, and the 3' end, to which the tRNAs corresponding amino acid is attached (by aminoacyl-tRNA synthetases). tRNAs cope with the degeneracy of the genetic code in two manners: having more than one tRNA (with a specific anti-codon) for a particular amino acid; and 'wobble' base-pairing, i.e. permitting non-standard base-pairing at the 3rd anti-codon position.
Source: Rfam by way of RNAcentral
GGCUCUGCAGCUAAGUGGCAAGGCGUCUGUGUUGUAAACAGAAGGUCGCGGGUUCAAUCCUUGCCGCAGCCU